CUGUCUAGUGUCUGUGUACAUAUCUGUGUCUGACACGAGGAAACUUUUUUGACAAGUUGUCUGUAUUCUUAAAUACUUAAAAAAUUAUCUUUUUCUAAACAGCCCUCAUCACUCUGCACUCUUCCCCCCAGCCCACUGAUAGCAACCAUCAUAAUGCCCCACCCAGCUUCCGGCACCUUUCGCCACUCCGGCACAAACCGACACAGCUUUGCGAUCUCGCCAGCAUGCAGAGUCUGAUGUCUUCCCUAUAGAUGAUUCCAGAGACUCUGUGAGGCCACUAUUACAAGGCAAGUUUGAAAAUCUUGGAAUUUCACAGUUUACAUGGUAUAACAAAUAUAUGUGACAGGCAAAAACUAGUAAACACUUUUAGCAGUUACAAGAACUAACAAAUGAAUAUCCAACAAAAGGGAAUAGAAAUACAUUGUACUGCCAAUACUUUGGUUUAUUCUUUGUAUGACUUGAAAAUCAGGCUUUAGGGAAAACUAAAUGACAUGUUUCUAUCAUCAAUUACAUGAAGUAAACACACAAGCACUUGCAUACACAUUUAAGACAUGAGACACGCUAAUUCCAUCUCAUAAAAUGUGUCUAUAGGUGAGACGCUUUGCGUUGAUUGGUGCUGCUGGACCACACUGGAGGUGCGAGUCCGCCGUGUAAUGGUUUAUGCCAUUACAAAGGAGCUGGCCUCUGUACUCAACUGGGCAGGGGAAAAAAAACCAAGGACCAGACAAAGCAAAAAAGGGCAUUUAAAGAGACAGCGCUGUGCAGAUGCAUAUUUGAUGGCCUGGCGCAGCAGGUAGGGGCGAACUCUGUCUGAGUUGGUCUUUGCUCAAGCAGUCCAGAAAUGGCUCAGAUACGCUCCAGAUCGUACGGGUGGCGCGCAGGACACACAUCAUCCAUCCCCAUCCCGGAAUAAAUAAUAAAAAGUGACGUGAAACAUAGAAAUGUAAAUAGGAAACUUUGUCUUUUAAUAAAGUAUUUUGCAAAUGAUACAUGUCUAUUGACCUUUUUUGUUUUUUUUGUUGUUUUUUUUCAAUAAAAAGCAACUGUGCGAAAGAGGUGGAAAAUCAAUACCAUAGCUCAACAGUGUUUCAAUAUCAGAAUCUGACAUUGUUUCAAUGUCAACAGUGUUAGAAAAUAUAACGUCGAAUCAAUGUCAGGUUUCAACAUUGAUUCAACAUCAAAACCUGACGUUGUUUCAACGUUAAAAAUGGGUGCAAGAGUGAUGUUGGGUCAACGUCACACUUCAACGUUGCUUCAAUGACGUCGCCUGAUAUUGACUCAACAUUGUUUCAAUGUUUCCUUGCUAUCUGGGCAGUGAUGUCAUGUUUUGAGACGAGGACCCAGGCACAGAGAGACUUGUUGAAUUUAAGAAUCAUAUGAUUUAAGAAAGAAAUUUGCAGACUUGCACAGAGAUGGUAAAAUUAUGAUGACUGAUAACGGAGAUGAAGACAACAGACGAUGAGGACAGGGAGGAACAGGGGUUUAAAUGCACCCAGGAGACAGUCAGAGAGAACUUGGGACAACUGGAGACAUUUAAGGAUGCAGGGACUCACAGACACAGGGAAGAAGUCUCAUUGUGACGUGUAAAGUUUAUCUUGCCUGGCUGGGCAGCUCUCUGGGUGCUCAGCACCCCCAAAGCUCUAAUCCUAGAAUCGCCCCUGCUAUAAAUACCAUUUGCAUUUUCUGUUGUGUACUUCAUUUGCUGUUAUGGAUAAAAAGUGUCUUUUUUUUGUUUCAAAGUAGCUGAUAACUAUUCGCUGAUAGCUGCCAACAUCUGCAAACAAAUAUAAUUCUAUAAAGUGGUUCUAUAUAGUGUGUAACUGUUAAUAUAGUAAACGUGGAGGUAAAUGGACUGUGUGGAAAUGAAACAACCUUACCAUUGAUUCAAAACAAUUUCGAUGAGCAAGCUAGUACACAGCUAAGGAGCACAGAUAACAUGACCAAGAAAGUAGACUCUGUGCUUUAUAAUAAAUCCACAAGUGAUAAUCC
Long non-coding RNA from Oreochromis niloticus (Nile tilapia), 1989 nucleotides. NCBI's taxonomy places the organism in Eukaryota, Metazoa, Chordata, Actinopteri, Cichliformes, Cichlidae. The record is from Ensembl.